Molecule: non-coding RNA, 328 nt
Organism: Kogia breviceps (pygmy sperm whale)
Lineage: Eukaryota; Metazoa; Chordata; Mammalia; Artiodactyla; Physeteridae
Source: RefSeq, a predicted model, not a curated record
GCCAACAGUCAGCAAGGAAACAAAAGCCUCAGUCCUAUAACCAUAAAAAGAUGAAUUUUGCCAACAACCUGAGGGAGCUAGAAGGGAUAUUUCCCCAGGUGAGCCUCUGAUGAAUGCAAUGCAACUGACAUCUUAAUUGCAGCCUUGGGAGACUGAGCAGAGGACCCAGCUAAGCCAAUGCCUGCACCUCUGGAACACACAAACUGGAGGCUUCCAUCCAGCCCCACACCUUUACUUCCCUGAGCCUGGGUUCAGCACCUUUCUAUGUGCACACCCCAAAAUCUGGUAUCUAUUUGCAAGAAUUAUUUGUAUUGGAAAAAAGACCUAU